GUAAAAAAUUGUAUUUAAGAAAUUUUAACUUCACUGAGUUGGAUGCAAAAAUAUGAAAAUUAAGGUUGAAUAUCAAAACGAAUUUUUCCACGAAAAAAAUCUAACAAAAUUUA
Rhagoletis zephyria (snowberry fruit fly) is the source of this 113-nucleotide long non-coding RNA. RefSeq lists it as uncharacterized. The record is from RefSeq and is a predicted model, not a curated record. NCBI's taxonomy places the organism in Eukaryota, Metazoa, Arthropoda, Insecta, Diptera, Tephritidae.